GACGAACGUUGGCGGCGUGCCUAAUACAUGCAAGUUGAGCGCUGAAGGUUGGUACUUGUACCAACUGGAUGAGCAGCGAACGGGUGAGUAACGCGUGGGGAAUCUGCCUUUGAGCGGGGGACAACAUUUGGAAACGAAUGCUAAUACCGCAUAAAAACUUUAAACACAAGUUUUAAGUUUGAAAGAUGCAAUUGCAUCACUCAAAGAUGAUCCCGCGUUGUAUUAGCUAGUUGGUGAGGUAAAGGCUCACCAAGGCGAUGAUACAUAGCCGACCUGAGAGGGUGAUCGGCCACAUUGGGACUGAGACACGGCCCAAACUCCUACGGGAGGCAGCAGUAGGGAAUCUUCGGCAAUGGACGAAAGUCUGACCGAGCAACGCCGCGUGAGUGAAGAAGGUUUUCGGAUCGUAAAACUCUGUUGGUAGAGAAGAACGUUGGUGAGAGUGGAAAGCUCAUCAAGUGACGGUAACUACCCAGAAAGGGACGGCUAACUACGUGCCAGCCGCCGCCGUAA
Molecule: ribosomal RNA, 513 nt
Filed under: uncultured bacterium
Lineage: Bacteria
Description: partial 16S ribosomal RNA
Rfam family: Bacterial small subunit ribosomal RNA
Source: RNAcentral